UGGGGAAUAUUGCACAAUGGGCGCAAGCCUGAUGCAGCCAUGCCGCGUGUGUGAAGAAGGCCUUCGGGUUGUAAAGCACUUUCAGCGAGGAGGAAGGUGGUGAGCUUAAUACGCUCAUCAAUUGACGUUACUCGCAGAAGAAGCACCGGCUAACUCCGUGCCAGCAGCCGCGGUAAUACGGAGGGUGCAAGCGUUAAUCGGAAUUACUGGGCGUAAAGCGCACGCAGGCGGUUUGUUAAGUCAGAUGUGAAAUCCCCGGGCUCAACCUGGGAACUGCAUUUGAAACUGGCAAGCUAGAGUCUCGUAGAGGGGGGUAGAAUUCCAGGUGUAGCGGUGAAAUGCGUAGAGAUCUGGAGGAAUACCGGUGGCGAAGGCGGCCCCCCUGGACGAAGACUGACGCUCAGGUGCGAAAGCGUGGGGCAGCAAACAGGAUUAGAUACCCUGGUAGUCCACGCUGUAAACGAUGUCGAUUUGGAGGUUGUGCCCUUGAGGCGUGGCUUCCGGAGCUAACGCGUUAAAUCGACCGCCUGGGGAGUACGGCCGCAAGGUUAAAACUCAAAGG
This 562-nucleotide ribosomal RNA is filed under the name uncultured bacterium. RNAcentral's name for it is "partial 16S ribosomal RNA". It matches the Rfam family "Bacterial small subunit ribosomal RNA", at positions 355 to 907 of the family's 1533-position model. The record is from RNAcentral.